RNAcentral lists this ribosomal RNA (640 nucleotides) under Ceratobasidium sp. Its description in RNAcentral is "eukaryotic LSU rRNA". The stretch from base 220 to 373 matches the Rfam family "5.8S ribosomal RNA". The record is from RNAcentral. Lineage: Eukaryota; Fungi; Basidiomycota; Agaricomycetes; Cantharellales; Ceratobasidiaceae.
AAGUCGUAACAAGGUUUCCGUAGGUGAACCUGCGGAAGGAUCAUUAUUGAAUGAAUGUAGAGUCGGUUGUCGCUGGUCCCUUCGGGGGCAUGUGCACGCCUUCUCUUUCAUCCACACACACCUGUGCACUCGUGAGACGGAAGCCCUCGGGCGUCCGUCUGCUCUACAUAAACUCAUAUCUAUAAUUCGAAUGUAAUUGAUGUAACACAUCUUUAAACUAAGUUUCAACAACGGAUCUCUUGGCUCUCGCAUCGAUGAAGAACGCAGCGAAAUGCGAUAAGUAAUGUGAAUUGCAGAAUUCAGUGAAUCAUCGAAUCUUUGAACGCACCUUGCGCUCCUUGGUAUUCCUUGGAGCAUGCCUGUUUGAGUAUCAUGAAAUUAUCAAAAUAAUUCUUUUGUUCAUUCGAUUGAAUUUAUUUUGGACUUGGAGGUCUGCAGAUUCACGUCUGCUCCUCUUAAAUAAAUUAGCUGGAUCUCAGUGAGCUCGGUUCCACUCGGCGUGAUAAGUAUCACUCGCUGAGGACACUGUAAAAGGUGGCCGGGAUUGCGGAUGAACCGCUUCUAAUCGUCUAUUCACUUAGACAACAAUACUUUAUGAUCUGAUCUCAAAUCAGGUAGGACUACCCGCUGAACUUAAGCA